Molecule: ribosomal RNA, 253 nt
Filed under: uncultured bacterium
Lineage: Bacteria
Description: partial 16S ribosomal RNA
Rfam family: Bacterial small subunit ribosomal RNA
Source: RNAcentral
UACGGAGGGGGCUAGCGUUGUUCGGAAUUACUGGGCGUAAAGCGCGCGUAGGCGGCUUUGCAAGUUGGGGGUGAAAUCCCGGGGCUCAACCUCGGAAUUGCCUUCAAGACUGCUUGGCUUGAGUUCGGGAGAGGUGAGUGGAAUUCCCAGUGUAGAGGUGAAAUUCGUAGAGAUUGGGAAGAACACCAGUGGCGAAGGCGGCUCACUGGCCCGCAACUGACGCUGAGGCGCGAAAGCGUGGGGAGCAAACAGG